CUACGGGUUGCAGCAGUGAGGAAUUUUGCGCAAUGGGCGAAAGCCUGACGCAGCAACGCCGCGUGGGUGAUGAAGGCCUUUGGGUCGUAAAGCCCUGUCAAGUGGGAAGAACCCGCCGGAAACCAACAGUUUCCGGCGCUGACGGUACCACUGAAGGAAGCACCGGCUAACUCCGUGCCAGCAGCCGCGGUAAUACGGGGGGUGCGAGCGUUAUUCGGAAGUAUUGGGCGUAAAGGGCGCGCAGGCGGCCGUCUAAGUCGGAUGUGAAAGCCCGGGGCUCAACCCCGGAAGUGCAUUCGAAACUGGACGGCUUGAGUAUGGGAGAGGGAAGCGGAAUUCCUGGUGUAGAGGUGAAAUUCGUAGAUAUCAGGAGGAACACCCGUGGCGAAGGCGGCUUCCUGGACCAAUACUGACGCUGAGGCGCGAAGGCGUGGGGAGCAAACAGGAUUAGAUACCCCAGUAGUC
This 465-nucleotide ribosomal RNA is filed under the name uncultured bacterium. Its description in RNAcentral is "partial 16S ribosomal RNA". It matches the Rfam family "Bacterial small subunit ribosomal RNA", at positions 339 to 795 of the family's 1533-position model. The record is from RNAcentral.